ACAGAAAAGGAGGGCUUUCAAGAGAAUUUUAAAGAAAGGUAGCAAACUGUUUUGUAGUUAUUUAUAGAUAGUGGCUCCUGAGCAUCUGGGAUAGGAAAGCAAGAAAUGAAUGAAUUUAAAAAUUCAGUCUGAGAACCAUUCAAAUGGCCGAGGGGAGACUGUUAUGCGUUGGAGUCUUGUAAGAGACUUACUCUUUGUGCAGAGUAAGAGUGGAGGAUAAUCCAUGAAGGACCUUCUUCUAAAAAGUGAAAUAAAUGACCUUAAAAAAAGAAGCAUUCUGGAAGAAAGGCAAUGAAGGUCAAAAGGAGCAGAUGAAAGGGAAAUCAAGAGACCUCAGACCACAGAGGUACUGAAAAGCGUCAAGUCAUUUAAUGUUUCCCUUCACAUUUGCUUCCACCUUGUUCAGGGUAAAAUGGAACUUGAACUUCAGAAAGGAUUGCAGUGAUUUCUCAUCUCUCCCCACUGGAGUGGAUCAUACCUGUAAGAAUACGAAGAGCUGUUAUUAACAGGUAUGAGCACAUCCAAAUAACAGCAGCUUGUGAUUGUUCUAAUAGGACAGUAUUAAUCGAGUACUUUCUGUAAGUAUUGUAAGUGACCUGAGAUGGACCAAAUACUUAGGAAAUUGGCCGAGGCAGGUUUUAUUGUCGCUAAAUCUGUCUUAGUUGAUAGCUGUAACAGACAUGAAGGUCUUUCUAAACAGGCCCAGAAACCACAACAUGUCCUAUGCAGGGGAAAGUAACUUUGAGAACUAAGAUUAUCAACUGUGAAGAGGACUACAAUCUUGCACAGAAAAGUACGGGUGAGAACAGUUAUGCAAUAAUAGAAACAUAAGAUUUUUCACCCACAUAUCACAGAAAUAAGUCAGUUAUGUCGCACCAUUGUCUACCUACAGGUAGAUAAAGUCUUUCAUGUUUGGAUUCUCCUAAAUGAAUUUAGAGCUUCAGUCUUUGAUUUAAAGUGCUAUAGUUUAUUUUAACAAAAAAAUUUAAACUGUUCCUACUGCAGAGUGACGCCAAAGCUACCAGGCACCUCUAGUCUAAAGCUUUUAUAAUAGACUAUGAAACUAAGUUAGCUUGAGUCAGCUUAUUCUGUGGAAGCACAAAUGUGUUCUCCUGGCAGUUGAUUAGCAAAGUCCAGAUUCAAUGGGAUUGAAGACAGUGAUUAUGGAAGAAGGGUACGUAGAACACAUGUACCCAGCAGAGGAUGAACUGAUGCAAACAGAAUUUAAAAAAAACCUGAUAUGUUCACUAUCCACUGUUCCUCUCAUGGAAACACAGGCAUGGAAGGUAGUGAAUAUUACCAUUCUUCAGAUGAAGAAUGAAUAGAAUUGUCCUUCAUGGCUGUUUUGACAAUGUGAAAUCAAGAGAAAGAGUUGUAUCCUUCCCCAUGGAUGUACACCAGAUUACUGUGGAAAAGAAGGUGAAGUGCUAUCAAGUGCAAGGUACGCAGCUUCACUAUGAGGUAGGAUUCAGAUGUGUGUGACUCACACUUUGUGAAUGAGACAUACUGGCUGAGAGUAAAGAAGUAAAUAGUGUUUCAGUCCAGUGCUGAAACAAGCUAAGUCUUCACAAGAGUACAUGAUUAAGAAUCUGAUGGGAAUCGGGCAACAGAAAUAAGAAACUCAUUUUCAUUCAGUUGCAAAUGAUAACUAUAUCCUCAAGAUGUAGCCCAGCUGGUGUUAUAAUCCUUAGUUCAGUCUGUUUUAGGAAAGAAGAGGAAGAAAAAAUCCCCACCUCUCUAAAGUCUGUUGAAACUUCAGAAAUACCUGAGUACAUUGCCCUAAGUUGUUGUUGGGUGUGCAAUUUCUAAUGAAAACUUAAUUUCAUGUCUUAUUAAGAACUACAGGUGUUGUUUCUUCCAAACGUACAAGAAAUAUUUUCAGAACUGUCAAUAUCAUGCUUGAUUACUAGACAGAAAAAAGACAUACUAUGAGCUAAUGUCCUUAGCCUCUUUGUACCUAGUUUGAAGCACUUUACCUAGAGAUGAAAGUGCCACUUAUGUAUGAAUCUAAGAGUCUUUUGGAAAGCAGUGAACUCAAACUUACAUCAAGAUGAUCUUCCCUAUACUUCAGUCCUCAUGCUAAUAAAAAUAAUUACAUUUUUUGGCAACUUUUUUGUGUUUUUCUUUCUGUUACUGUUGUUGGAUGGAGAGGAAGGGAGGAGAUGACAAUGUUAGUAGACCUAUGACCUGUGGGAGUGGAAAGAAUUUCAGUAUUUUCUUGAUAUAUACUUUUUUUUUUUUUUUUUAGAAAAGAUUUACUCUACAAAUUGCAUGGAUUUUUACUGGAGACCCAAUUCCUACAAUUUUCUUUUUAUUUGUGCUUGAAGAACAUGCCCUUUAGUGUGAUUAAGGAAUAAUUGGAUUCAUUUUGAAUUGUGGUAAAUGGCAUGGCAUUCUUUUCAUGGAGUUUCUGGUUCUGCAAUUACAUUUCUGCAGCAGUAUCUAGCAGUCACGAAAGAUUAGCUGUGUUUUCUUCUUCUGCCAUGCAGUUUUCUAAUCUGUCUGGAACACAAAUAGAUCAAGAAUUGCAGCUUUGUAGAUUGUAUCAAAUGCUUCUGUAUGUCGCUUUGUGACUGUUGGGUCAUUCUUGGAUACACAAGGUUGACAUAUAUCUAUGUGAGAAUUAUUUCCAGAAAAUAUGUAUGGUGCACUGUCAAAAAGGUGUUCUUUUUCUUCCUUUUAAGUUCAAAUUUCAUAAUUAGAACAAGAUGAACAAUAGCAUCCUCUCACAGAAGAAUAAAGAUGUGCUCAACUCCCUUUCUACUGCCUUUGAAAGAUGAAUAAAUGGGUAUUUUCUGCAGCCUUCCUUAAUCUUCUGUUCCUCUUCACACCUUGCUCCAUUUUCAAGCAUUUCAAUAGGGAUGCAUGAACUCCUUAGAUAAGAGCCAACUCCAGAAAGAACUUCAAAAGAAACAGAUGAGACCAGGCAGCACGCAGAAUUCCUCUGGGACACAAAAUGCAGGUAUAUACGCUACAAGGAGUUGGUGAUGACAGUUGUUUCGUUAUAAUUUUACUCCUCGUGCAUAUCCAUCUUCCUUCUUUUCUCCUGUUUCUUUUUUUCAUCUUCUCACUCUACCUUACCCUCCUUCCCCUUCCUACCAUUUUUUUGUCUCCUUCUUUUCCUUCUCUCCAGGAGUGUGUGAGGUACUUUAAGAUGAUCCUGCAUCUGUGACAGAAGAUAUUUCCUUUCUGUUUCACAUCUUUACUUUUUCAGAGGAAUACAGACUUGCACAUCACUUAUAUACUGUUUUUUCCAUUCUGGGGCACGGGGGAUUUAGACAAGUGACUCUCAUGGCUGUUAAUGGGAUUUGUUCAGCUAAAGUCUUGUGUAAGCCAAGCCUUUUCAAAAGAGUGAAUUUCUUUAGAAGUACAGAUAGACCUGGUUAAAGAUUCUUUUGAUGAUAUAUGAGGCAAGAUCUUAGAGCAUAUCUAACAAUUAAAGAAUGUGGACAACUUUUCACAAGUUAAAAGUGUUAAUCUCACUAUUAUGGCCAUAUUUCCAUUUGGUUAAUUACUUCCUGCUGUGUAAAAUUCUUCCUAUAAUUUUACUUAAAGGUAUUUUUUAUGCCUGUCUAGAAUGACUGCACAAUGUUAUUGCAUGAUUUUUAAAGCAGAGCUCCUCAAUUAUCAGAAAAAAUAUUUGCCAAGUAAAUGUUUCUAUGAAAAUUGUCAUUAUCCAUCAAGUGAUUUAUUCCAUGAGCAGUAUUUGCAGAGCUAUACAGCUGGUUGAUUACUACUACUACAAAAAAUUACUCUAAUAAAUGAGUUGAGAAGAAAGGUAAAAAUUAAUUAAGAUAAUGUAUAAGUUGGAUAAUAUUUGUCCAGCUGUUGUUUGAAGGCUAUCACCUUUCAUUUUGGUGGGCUUACAUACUGACAAAGCAAUCUCUGUAUAAAUACUUCUAAGUUUAUCUUGUGAUCUGUCAUCCUUACUUGAAAAAUGUUGCAUGAAUGAUCAUUAUUAUUAUUGUAAAUUGAACCCUAUUUUCAUUUGGAGUAAAAUACAAUGGCAUUCGAACAAGAAAUGCAAGGAGCUGUAAAUGAAGUGAGUGCCAUGUGGUUUGAUGUGUAUACUCUGAGAUAAAGCCUAUGUUGUUCAGACUCUGGGAAUAAAUGCCUGUCCUACUGGGGGCAACUAAGCCCCUAAGUUUCUCUAGAAUUAGUGAUAGUGUAAAUACAAAUCAUUGCAUGGAAGUUAGAAAGUUUACUACAGUGAACAUUGUUUUCAGCCAUUAUAGCCCUUCAGUCUUAUAUUUUUGUGAUAUUUCAUUGCAGUGAGCACAAUAAGAAGACUAAACAAAACUUCCUUUUUUUUUUUUUUUUUUUUUUUUUAACAGGGAAAAAAAACAAAACAAAACAAAAACAAAACCAGAAAACCUCAAACAAACAUUGUGGACAUCACUUUGUUUUCUACACAAUUCUUUUCUGUAUGAGUCCUUUCCAGCCUUCUUUGACAAAGCAAGACACCAGAACUCAGUACCGUCAGUACCUUAGGAAUCUCAUCUACAGAGAAGUUUAUUAAACAUGUGCAAUAUUUUCUGUACUUGUCCUUCAUUUAAGACAUUUGUGGAAUCAUGGAAUAGAUUGGAUUGAAAGGAGCCUUUAAAGAUCAUCUUGUCCAAACCCCCUACUAUGGUCAGGUUUGCCAUCUGUUAGAUCAGGUGGCCCAAAUCUCCGCCCAACCUGACCUUGAACACAUCCAGAGAUUGGGCAUUCACAGCUUCUCUGGGCAGCCUGUGCCAGCACCUCAUCACUUCUGAGUAAAGAAUUCCUUUAAUCUUAUUCUGCCUUCUUUUAGUUUAAAAUCAUUACCCCUUGCUCUAGUACUACAUGUCCCUGUAAAAGUCUCUCUCGGUAUUUUUCAUAAGCUUCCUUUAAGGAUUGAAAGGCUUCCUUCUCUUCUCCAAGAUACAAUCUAAGCUCCCUCAGCCUUUCUUCAUAGGGAAGUGCUCUAGUGCUCUGAUCAUGGUUGUUGUCAUUCUUUGGACUCACUUUAACAGGUCCAUGUCUUUCUUGUGUUGAGUUUGCCAGUACUCCUGGUGCGGUCUCACAAGAGCAGAGUAGAGGGGGGAGAAUCACCUUGCUUGCCCUGCUGGCCAAGUUUCUCUUGAUGCAUCCUGGGAUAUAGUUUUCUAUUUGGGCUGCAAGUAUGCACGGCCAACUAACAUCCAAUUUUUCAUCCAGCAGUGCCCCUAAGUCCUUCUCAACAGGGCUACUCUCCAUCCAUUCAUCCACCAGUCGGCACUGUUUGGUAUUGCCAUGCACCUUGCAACUGGCCUUGUAGAACUUCAUGAGGUUCAUAGGUGCCCACUUUUCAAGACUGUCUAAGUCCCUUUGGAUGACACCCAUUCCAUUUAUAAUGUCAACUGCACCACUCGGUUUGGUGUCAUCUGCAAACUUAGUUCUCCCAUCUUGUUUAUCAGAAGGUGUACACUCUCAUUACUCUGCUUUUCUGCCUAAUAGAAUCCUUUAUUAUCCUUUGCAUCCCUUGUCAAGUUCAGUUCCAUCUGUGCAUUGGCUUUCCUGAUCCCAUCCCUAUACGUUCAGGUGGUAUUCCUGUAUUCCUCCCAGGCCACAUGUCCCUGCUUCCACUGUCUUCACAUUUCCUUCUGAUGCUUCAGUUUAACUAGUAGGUCCUUACUCAACCAUGUUGUUUUCGUGCACGUAGCAAUUCAUAUGACAUCUUUAGCCUGUUACUCAUACUGGGAAGGAUCAGAAGAUUCAUAUGGGCACAUGGAUUUUAAACAGAAGUGACAGUUUGCCUAAUGCAUUUAAAAGUGCAUGGUGAAGUAAUGAGCUUUCUGAAACAUGAUGCCCAUGAGAAUCUUAGGAAACAGUCUAAUUCCUUCAGAGUUUAUGGUAUCUGAACUUCAUUAUGUUGUCUUAAAAUUUAUUUACAUUUCUCCUCUCUUCUGCUCUAUUCUUAUAAAUCCCCAUAUUUUCUUCAAAAUAAGCAAAAAAAAACUUUUCUUGUUUAUUAAUUUAGUCCAUUUACUGCUGUCUAAUGUUAGAGAUUUAUAUUAGGGUAAGCGUCAAUAGAAUAGCAUUGAAAUCAGGGUAUGCAGGUGUUUGACUAGAGAAAGCAUCUCUUCAAUGCCAAAAUGCCUCUAAGUGCUUAGAGUACUUAGUGCUCUUUGGACUGUUCAGGUAUCAUCAGAGAAAAUAUCUGUGUUUCCAGUUUCCUAUGAAUCCAGUUGCUUUUACCUGAGUGUGUGCUUGGAUCAAUGAAUCCUAUCAAAAAAGCUCUGAAAAUGAAUAUGUUGUAAUUUUUAAAAUAUAGUUGAGGAGAAUAUUCAUCUUUAUCCAGUUUGGUAAAUUUAUUGUGUUUACAGGUGCAGAAAUCAGGGCACAGUUAUGGCUAAAAUUAUGCAACUAUCUUUUUUUUUUUUUUUUUUACUGGAAGAAGGGACACUUGAAGAACUAUUUUGUAGUAACAAGGUUCAGUGAUACAGAAGGGUCAAUGCAGGUUUUUCCAUCUCUGAAGACCAAGGAUUUAAGUUAUGAUCUCAGCCAUGAUGCCUGUAUUCAUUCUGCGUGUUUAUGGAGAAUUCUUAUUUUCAACAGGACAGAAAUUCAUUUGCUUCAGUAAUUUUUACUCAAAUACUUGCGGAAUUUUCAGUUAAGUUGAGGCAUAUUCAUGCUUGUUUUUUAUUCACUUUCUGCAAAGGUCUAUAUAACCAAAUGUUACUGCAAUAGCUCAGGAACAGGUGAUUUUUAAGUUCUCAAAUUUGCAUAAUUAUAGAAAACAAAAUUAAAUGUCAUUUCUGUGAAUGUUUCUCACAGGUAAUUGAUUACAAAAUUAAGUCAUAAAUGUACCAUACCAACCAUAACUUCUUUUAUCACAAUUAAAUAACACACUUUUAAAUCCAAACGAGGGAAGAUUUUGCUGCAAGUCUUCAAUCAUUUUUUCAAUUGCAAAUAAGUAGGGAUUGGAAUCUAACUGGACAUUCUUUUAUGUAAAUUUAAGCAUAUGAUUAAUUUUUUUGGAUCAGGUUCAAAGUACUCGGCGCCUUCAGAGCUCAUAGCAUUGCUGCAAAAUCACAAAUACUGCAGACUUACAAGCUGAAAGGGUAAGCAUAUUUAAAUUGUUGAAAAAUGUAGAGGUUCCUUUAUGCACACUGAAAUCAAAUGCUUUACAAACAGCUGAGAGACUGUUACCCAUUCCAAGAUCCUGAGUCUUCUCUUCCUUGGGUCUUCUCCAGGAGAGCUAUGAAACAUUUGGUAAAGCAUUUUUAAGCAUAAAAGAGCAAAGGUGAAUGGAAGGUAAAGAGGAAAGAAAAAAAAGGACUAAAGGAUAAAAGAACAAAAAGAGCAAUUGCACAUAAAAAUUCCAAGUCUUUUUCAUUUUUCAGAAACAUGAUUGAAACAAUUGACAUGAAACAAUGGUGAGGUGAUCAAACUGAGAGAUGCCACAAACAUUAAUGUCUUUCUGUAUUACAGCUUACAAAUAUGCAGAUAAUCAGAAGAGAAACAGCUGAAUUUCAGAGUUGAUAAAUGCCCGAUAGUGCACACUCAAAUGCUCCCAGACAGUGCUUAAUUCACAAUCAUCGCACAGAAAAAAGAGCAGGGAAUCACUGUAGACAGCCCAGUAAAACAUCUGCUAAGUGUGAUUUGAUAGCUGAAAAUGCAGAUAAAACAUUAGAGUAAUACCGAAAAUGUAAAACCAUUGUACACACCAGUGGCAUAUUUUCAGCUGUACUUCAUUUCUUGUCAUCCCAUCUGAGACAGGUAACAGAAGAGGCUCAGAGACACGAAAUAUAGGCAAAGCAAAUUUACAGAAAUAUAACAAAUGAACAGAAAAGACAAAAUUACAACAAUGCUUUAAAGGAACACAAAUCUUUGAAAUUAUACCAUGCAGUGGUACUUUUGGGAUGAAAUGUGUAUUAAAAGAAAACCGAACAGCUAAUCAGCCAGCUGACAAUGGCAGCAGUUGCAAAACUGGAGCGAUUGAAUGUCUAAAUGCUUUGUCAAGUGGGAAUAUGAGGACUGUUAGCAGUCCUCAGAUAUUGAUGAAUCCUCUGCUUCUUCCUUUCAAAACAAAUGAAGUCAACAAAGAAUAAGGGAACUCAACUGCAAAUAUAAUUCACUUGCUGUUUUCCCCCAUGUGCUCUGCAGUGUUUCACAAGAGACAGUUCUCCUAAAAUGCUGUAACAUUCAGCUUGCUGGAGGCCGGGACACAGCCGCAGCAAGACAUGCUCUUUCCCCUUCUGACUGAUGAAAAUCCAAUGAACAUUUCCCAUCAAGCCCCCAGUCUCUUGCCUCCCAUGACAUCAAGAAAACUAGGAACUGAAAUAUUCAACCAUGAUUAUAGAGAACAGCAGAAUUUUGUUUCCCUCCACUUACACUUGGACUUGAUCCCACUCCAACUGAUUGCAGUUAUGUGCUUGCAAAUGACUGAAAUAGGAAUAAAUUCUGUCUGUUGAACAAAACUUUUCCAUCACUGUGAAAUUCUCUAAUGACAGAACUUUACAGAAUUGUAUGGGAGUUCUACUAGCAGAAAAUUUGACUCCAGAUCUGUGAAUUCAUUAGCCUAUUGUUUGUCUCUCUUUUUCUUUCUAAUAGCAAAGGGCUGAAAGAUUUUUAUGUGCUAUUUAGACUAACAUUUGGUAACUCAUUCCCUUUCUGUACAGAAAUUAACUGUAAUGGUUUGUGCUCUUAUCCAGCCGCACAGCUAACGUAUCUGCACUUGCUUAAGCAUCUCCAAGCUCUUAUGAAUGAGACAAUAUCUUCUCAAGCAUUGAAAUGUUAAUUCGUGGGUAAAAACAGAUACUAAUAAGAAGUAGAGCUCAGGUGCGGAAUUUUCCAUAGCCCUUACUCCUGCCUGGAGUUACAAAUUGCUCCAAGGGCCUGACAAAGGAGUACAGCUGGGAAUAUUUAAAAAUUUCCAUCAUGGAAUAUGAAACUUCUGUAUUUGAAAGAUGUCUCCCAAGGAUUCAAGACUAGUGACACGAAAGUUUAUCUCCCAAGACUUAGGCCAUGUAACAAAUAGCUUUUACCUAGCAGCAAUUCAAUCUUUAGUAGGAAUAAUUGUUUAGAGGUGCAAAUCUCUUUGUAAUAUUUGCUCUGGAAUUAUUGUUCUCUCUUACAUCACUCAACUUUAAAACAUUGAAAACCAUGAAAUCCUGCUGGAAGAGAAUAAAAUGACUCAGUUCAAACUGGGACAGAUACAAAAAAGAGGGAGGGCCAGCAUGUGUGCAGUGUUUUAAUUUUUUCUCAUUCUCAUUCUCUUUUUCCUUUUUCUGUCUCUUUUCUUUCUGGGCUUAUAUUUAGCAACUUUAUCAAAGGUAGUCAAAUGGCUCGUGCACUAGUAGAAUGGCUUGUGCACUAGUCAUACUGCACAGUUCACAAACACAAUUGUCUGGUAGAGGAUAUUUUUGCAUACAGCCUGAUUUUCCAUGGUGCAGCUAUAGUAUCUUUGUGUAUCUAGGCUACUGCUUUAUCACUAAUACAUUAAUUCUACCAAAUGUCUGUUAUUUAUUGCACCAUGGAAACUCCAAGUAGAGAAAAUACACCGAGCACAACUUUUUGCAUCUGUUUUCCAAGCUCUUCCCUGAUAGUCUAUGAGUUAGCUGAAAUGACUGAAACUUACAGGUGAAGGAAAUCAAGAUUCUGAACACCUCCUGAGGGCUGGUGGUGAGACAGACAUCCUCUUACUUUCAGUUAAAAUCCAACCUAUCGUACAAGUUUUCUUACAAGCUACUCUUGUAAGAAACUCCAUUUAACAAGAUUCAAGCACACAAUUUCCUUGAAAACUGCUAAACUAGCCUCUGGAUGGUUCUUUUGCACCCUAUUCCUAAAGAACCUAUCCAUGGCAUAGUCAGGGGAAGGAUGACAAAGUCACCAGACAACAGGAUGUGACUAAGGAGCCACUCUUUAGGUUCUAGUUUCUUCUGCCAGUCAGAUAUAUGAGGGUGGGUAUUUCCCAUUUGCUGUAUCCCUCUGUUGUGAAGCUGCAAUCAGGAUAGACAGGGGACCUGCUGCUAGACAGCUGCCUGCCCCCACAGGGAUGCCCUUGUGUAGGUGCAGUGCUGCCAGUGAUAAAGAAAGCAGCUGAUCCCCAUGCCAAGACUCAGUCCUGUAUUUGAAGUGCUACAGGUUGGCAAAGGGAGCUGCUGUGGCUUGUUUUCUGUGAUGAGAAAGUCUGGGAUUUAUUUGGCACACACACGUGGGUACAAAUGCAGGCUCUUCAGUAAGAAGGUGCUUGAGGAAACAGCUGUGAGGGUGUCAGGAACCCUUUGCAGGCAAACUGUAGGGUAGGAAGGUAUUUUCUGUACUUCUGAGGUUGCUUGCUUUCCUUUCUGACUCACACUAAAUCUUACUGUCUUAUAAAUAAUGUUUUCCCUGGAAAUCAUAAAGACACUUCAGAAGAGAAUGCUUUCUCUUCCUUUGAAAUGCAAUAUAUUUCACUGAAGAGGAGGACUUUUCUGAAGACCACCUCUCUUUUUACACUCAAAUUGCACCUGAGUUGAACUGUGCACUAUGCUAGCUACAUAGAUAGUGAAUUUUGCUUUUGGGUAGGAAGCGUGGCUUUCCAGCACGAGUACUCUGUUUAUUUGUCAAGUGGAAUUGCUCCUUCCUCACCUGGGGUUAUGAGAAAACAUUUUUGUUUAAAUGGAGAAACAAAUGAAUAGUUUGCAUAGUCCUUAACUCACAGAACUGCCAUGUAAGGUUUAUCACAAACAUAUAGGAAAAGGGUGUUUGCCAAAUGCCCCUUGUUAUAACAUUGGCAGUACAUCACGAAUUCAGGAAGAUACCAGAUGUCCCAUUUGGUGUGAAAAUACAGUGAGUCUGAGAAAUGUAGUAUGUUUCCAGCAUGAGCUUGUUAGAUACUGAGACAUUUUAUUAUUACUAUUAAUUAUUACUAUUAUAUUUCUGAUAUAUUUCAAUACAUAUUUUUUGUUGUGCUUUAUUUUUUUACUGUAAUAUACCUUUAAAUAAUCAGAAAUAAAUGUAUGGAGAGAACCCUUGAAACUGUAGUUAUCUUCCUUUGCUAGGUAUCUCCCCCUUUAGAAACAACACUCACAGAUUUUCAGACAUCUCUAGAAGGUAGUGAUAUGCGUUGCACUUCUGUUCAAUUUGAAUGGCAGGUCUGAAUUCAGACCCUUGCUUUGAAUGCAAUUAAAUUUUCCACAGGUAUAUGUUCAGAUCCCUCUUGCAUAGGAAAACUCAUAUUUUGGAAAAACUGAUCAUGUAAUAUCCAAGUGGUUGAUGCCCACUGACCAGGGCACUGGGUAUGAACCCAAAGAUGAAAGAAGUACAGGCACACUCUUGGUGAUUUUUUAAUCAGUUAUUGCCUGUUGAGAUAGCUGUAACCGAUGUAAGUUUGAGCAAUCUCAGGGCUGACAGGUUUUUUGGAGAUCAAGGUGGCAUUAUUCUACCACUGACUCUUUGAUCAGGGUCUGAUACUACUGAACUUCAGCCUGACUCAAGGGAAUAUGCAAACGUUUCGCUAUGCAACCUGGGUGGUCAGGAAAACAGAUCUUGCAAAUUGGUGUGUAAGUCUGUAACUGUACUGAGAAUAUAAGGGAGUAAGUGUGAUUUAAAAGAUAAAUUUGGGGACUUCUUUGUGUUUGGGGUGCUAUAAAAAAACAACACAAAAUUGGGAAGCAUUUAGGAGUGUGGUGAUAUGAGCUACAUAAUGCCACAAAUCUGGCUGGGUAACUCUGGACAAAAUCCUUUUCCUAUAAUUAACAAACAAACAAACAAACAACAACAAAAAAAGACAAAACAGAUCAGAAUUUAAAAUACUUAUCAACGUGUCCUGAAAUAAUUUGUUAUAGACUUUAUUUCUACUCUUCUUUUAAUAGAUAGGACUGCAAGAUAGAUAGCUAGGAGCUAGUAUUAGGAUAUUGCCUAGUUAAGCCAUUCUGCCUAUGAAUGUGCUUACUCCAUUAAUGUGGCUUUAGCAAACAGAAAACCAAACACCUUCAGUUUUAAGAGACUUAGUUUUCCUUUGGAGAAGGGAAAGGGGACUGUGGUAAUGACAAAAAUGUGAUUUUUCACCUUUUUUUUUUUUAACACUAAGAUUUUAAAUGAUUUAUGUCCUGCUUUUGAAAGUAAUUCCACAUCAUGCAGAAAAGAUGAGCACUGCACAGAAAGUUAUUUGGAAUUACAGUAGUCAAUUCACACCUCAAAAGGUUGUGGGUUUUUGUUGUUGUUGUUGUUUUUAAAUCUCCUGUGCUUCCAGACCUGUCGUUGAAAAAGUCUCAGAUGCUUUUGUGUGGUGCAAUGGUCACACCCAGUGGCCAGUUGGGUUAAUCACAUAUGUGUAUUCCCUAUGGAUAUGUGAGGUAGUUUGUUCCAGGAAUUGCCUCUUAUAUGCUAUGACAGCUUUGAAUCUAACUAGAGAGCAGGAAGGCAAUAUAUUUCCACCUUUAUCUUAUGGUUCAUUCCCAAAAGUCCCUGACUGAUCAAAAAGAAGGUCCAGACCAUUCAUGAAGUGAAUAGCAAAAAGAAGAUGAAACCCCCAUGGAGUCCGACGUUCUUGAAAUUAGGACCUUUGACUAUAAUGAGAUGGUGUUUUAAAAGAAUGAUUCAAGGACAGAGAGAAACAAAGAAACCUGCACUUUUUCUUAGUUUAAAUUCAGCUUCCUUUUAACUGUAGAUAGCCUGAAACAUUUGAACAUGUGUCUGAUUCUUCUUUUUUGGCAUUAUCAAGAUAAUUUGAAAAAAGAAAGGCCAUUUAUUCCUUAUAAUAAAUGAGAAAUAUACUGAUGUAUGAUGAAUAAAUCAAAAGAGAUGCAUACACAUAGCUCCUAACUAUAGCGUCCUUUAUUAGCAUCACAAUGACACUAAUGUUUUUUCUCCCAAUGUAGACUGUUUUGUCAAGGUCCCUGUUUUCAGUAAGUGUCAGCAAAUGACACAAGAGUGGGAAUACUACAAGCAUGUUCAGUGGAGGUAGCAUUACAGUUGCCGAUUUUGGGAUGGAGGAUGGGAGAGACAAGUUUCAACGGGGAAAGGGAGGGUCUACUCCUCACGUAAACCCUUCCUUUAAUACUCCCAAGGACAUGCUAGUUCCCUACUCUACAUUACAUGUGACUGUGGUCCCCUCUUAAGCCCUGGAGGGCAUAGCAGGGUUCAUUUACCCAUUCAACAAUCAAAUAGCUAAAUCUUUAUUACCAACUUUGCUGGUAUUGCCUCAAAUGUUGUGAAACAUUGCCUCAAAAACAUACAUGAGUAGAUUCUUUUUUUUUUUGUUUUUAGCCUUUUACCAGUUCCCUUACCUUCUUUGGAACAGUCAGUACCUGUCAAUAUCUACACAUUUAUCUUCUGUUACCUAAAGCAUCUGCUACUCAAUUCUGCUUUAUAUAUAUAUAGAUAAAUUUCCCCAGGAACUGAAGAAGUUGCUCUACACUGAUACUCAUAAAAAUCUCUGCUCCAGCUUCAGUGCUGUUGGCUGCUGCUGGGUGCUGGCACCACCAGGAGUAUUGGGCCAGAGCUUUUAUUAGCUUUCUUUCUCCUGAGAAGCCCUUAUACAUUUUCUGGUCAAGAUGCAGACUUUGGGUACUGAACGGCAGACAUCUUGUUUUACUAACUUGUCCCUUACAGACCUUUAACAUACGGCCCAUGAUUUCCCAUGGUUCUCCAGGCCACAUGUUAGACUAAACAGAAAAGUCAUUCAGAACAGUUAAUUUUUAAAGAACCUUGAAUCUCUUUUCCUUGAUGAAACUUUCUUUUGUGCAUAGUUCACUGAAGAAAUCCCAGCAUAUAACAGUAUGAACAUUGAGUUAGUGACUCCACAAAUUCUCAUUUCAACUAAGACAGUCAAUCUGGAGUUAACAUAUGAUGAAAUCUGGGCUGUCUGCAAUGACCUGGGAGGCUUUAUGCUGGGAAUCUCCUUCAGAAGACCAUGCACUAAAAUAUUAUAGUGGUUUCCAUACUGGAUUUUCUUGCACUUCAUCGCCUGGAGAUCUUUGGCACAGAAGUUUGUGCUUAACUUUCUUUCAUUUUUGCUUUGCAGGUCACAUUAAAAUGAAAACUUCCAUACUGGAUCAAAUUUGACAAAAAAGAACAGUUAUACCUUAAGAAAAAAAGUUGGCCUACUUUUUGUCUCAGUUCUCUCAUUGCUUUUUUGAAAAUGUAGGUGAUCUAAAGGGACUCUGUCAGGUCCUCUUUGCCCCUAGAUUCAGAUUACAUUUAAGAGUAAACAAAACACUUAGAAAAAAACCUUCUAUAAUCAGUGAAAGUUUUUGUGAUUUAAUAAAAAGAAGAAAACUUAAGUGGAAAUACUUCAGAUGCUACUCCUUUCCUGUGCUACAAAACAGUGCUGGUGCAUAGGAAAUGUGUACGAAAACCUAAAAGAAACAGGAGGAAACUAUCAAUGCUGCUUUCUCUGACUAAAGUGAGGGGAAUUAAAGAAGUGUUUCUCUACUUCUACAAUAUUGAUGUAAUCCCAUUUAAGGCUCCAGUUGAUAAGUAGGUCUAUACACAUGAAGUGCCAGCUCUCUUAUUUAAUGAUUAAUAAGCAAUGGUGAAAAGUGAAAUGUUUUGUUAAUCUCUUGCUAUUUUCAAUGACAUCAUGUUGGAGUAAAUAAAAAAAAAAAAAAAGGAGUAAAAGGAGUAAAUAGAAGACACACCUGUAUGUGUUGUACUGUUUAAUAGUCUCCUUCACUUUACGUUCCUGAAAUAGAUAAAACAUGUUGUUUUGAAGGUGGCUGGCCCAUUCUUCUUGCAAAUGUGAAAUCACAUUUAGUGGAGAAGUAUCCUAUUACCCGAGGCUCUGCGCUUUGAGAUGAAGACAGAAUGUGGAGUCCAUCUGAGCUUCCCCCACAUUCGCCUAUGACAAAGUCCACUGAGUGAGGGAUGAGUGAAGCCCAACACUUCAUCUGCUGUCAGCAACGCAUGUUUCAUAGAAUCAUAGAAUGGUUUGGGUUGGAAGGGACCUUUAAGGUCAUCUAGUUCUAAUUCCCCUGCUAUAGGCAGGGACACCUCCCACUAGACCAGGUUGCUCAAAGCGCCAUCCAGCCUGGCCUUGAAUUCUUCUUGGCACACGGCAUCCAUAACCUCACUGAGCAACAUGCUCUAGUGUAUCACCACCCUCACAGUAAAGAAUUUCUUCAAUUUCUUCCUAAUAUCUAGUCUAAAUCUACCCUCUUCCAGUUUAUAGCUAUUUCCCCUUGUCCUGACACUACCUGCCCUUGUAAAA
This is a long non-coding RNA of Gallus gallus (chicken), 15142 nucleotides long. RefSeq lists it as uncharacterized. NCBI's taxonomy places the organism in Eukaryota, Metazoa, Chordata, Aves, Galliformes, Phasianidae. The record is from RefSeq and is a predicted model, not a curated record. The transcript is spliced from 3 exons.